This 84-nucleotide transfer RNA is filed under the name Thioalkalivibrio nitratireducens DSM 14787. RNAcentral describes it as "tRNA-Leu". It matches the Rfam family "tRNA". Rfam says of the family: Transfer RNA (tRNA) molecules are approximately 80 nucleotides in length. Their secondary structure includes four short double-helical elements and three loops (D, anti-codon, and T loops). The record is from RNAcentral. Lineage: Bacteria; Pseudomonadati; Pseudomonadota; Gammaproteobacteria; Chromatiales; Ectothiorhodospiraceae.
GGGGGCGUGGCGGAACAGGUAGACGCAGCGGACUUAAAAUCCGCUGGCCGCAAGGCCGUGCCGGUUCGAUUCCGGCCGCCCCCA